AGCGCAACGCUGUACUGCGCGCAGGGGUGGGACAGUCGCCUUAUAGAGACGUUUUCAGAAAACUGUAGUGCCAUCUGAUAGUUGGCCCCAAAAUUAAAGCUUUGUCAGCUGUCACUCGCUUUGAAACCUGCGCACUGGUCAUAAAAUGGCGGCUACUUCUAGCGUUUGCACUUUGCGCAUGUAUGUAGCUCUCGUGUUCCAUUUUGCAUAUUUUUGGUAUUGAAAUCGAAGUGUAAGUGCGUCGAGUCGAGCCUUGUGUUCCUCCGCCUUGCUGUUGCGAAUUCACUCCAAAAAUCUCCUUAUUCUGUGUAUUUCUACGUUUUGUGAUAGAGACACUUUUGUUUGUGGAAUUUAUGAACUUUGGUGUAAUGCCGAGACGUUGUGCUUUCGGUUGUGCGCUCCGUGAGAUUCCAAUGCAUAGUUGCCCAGAUGCUGUCAAAUUCAUGAGCAGUUUAAAACUUGGGUCAGUCUUGUUGGUGGAAACCCUUAAACAUCUGAUCUUGAAUGUUAUAAGAAGAUAUGAUGUAUAUUAUAUAUAUAAUAUAUAAUUAUGAUCACUUAACACCAGGUGACCCGUACGCUCGUUUUUCCUCUUAUUCCAUAAAAAAAAAAUGUGAUAUACACUUUUCUGACAGACACAGAAAUCAUAUUCAAUGGCUAAGCACAUUGGCAGUUCCGAUGCUUCAUCUGCUUGAGCCAUAUGUGAGCAAUUUUAUUUUGGAAAAAGCAUCAACUUCAACAACAUUCCAACCUGGCUGCAGAUGCAUCUCAAGGUGCUUGAUGCUGGAACAUAAUUAUAGUUUCAUUAGCAAGCCUAAAAGAACAGCUGGAAAAGAUCUAAUGGCUCUACAGCGCACAAAGAUCAAGCAUCUUCAAGCAGAAAUAUCGCGCUUGCGAAAAAAAGGACAAUCUUUCAAAGCAAGGUGGUGCAGAUCGAUCAAUCGAAUUUUGUCAGGAAAAUUAACAUAUGUGGGUGAUGACGAAACAUAAAGAGCUGCCCAACAAUAUUAUGAUAAACAUAAACAUUAUAAAAAUAA
Leptidea sinapis is the source of this 1037-nucleotide long non-coding RNA. RefSeq lists it as uncharacterized. The transcript is spliced from 5 exons. Lineage: Eukaryota; Metazoa; Arthropoda; Insecta; Lepidoptera; Pieridae. The record is from RefSeq and is a predicted model, not a curated record.